Molecule: ribosomal RNA, 496 nt
Filed under: uncultured bacterium
Lineage: Bacteria
Description: partial 16S ribosomal RNA
Rfam family: Bacterial small subunit ribosomal RNA
Source: RNAcentral
AUGAACGCUGGCGGCGUGCCUAAUACCUGCCAGUCGCGCGAACAGACGAGGAGCUUGCUCCUCUGACGUUAGCGGCGGACGGGUGAGUAACACGUGGAUAACCUACCUAUAAGACUGGGAUAACUUCGGGAAACCGGAGCUAAUACCGGAUAAUAUAUUGAACCGCAUGGUUCAAUAGUGAAAGACGGUUUUGCUGUCACUUAUAGAUGGAUCCGCGCCGCAUUAGCUAGUUGGUAAGGUAACGGCUUACCAAGGCGACAAUGCGUAGCCGACCUGAGAGGGUGAUCGGCCACACUGGAACUGAGACACGGUCCAGACUCCUACGGGAGGCAGCAGUAGGGAAUCUUCCGCAAUGGGCGAAAGCCUGACGGAGCAACGCCGCGUGAGUGAUGAAGGUCUUCGGAUCGUAAAACUCUGUUAUUAGGGAAGAACAAAUGUGUAAGUAACUAUGCACGCCUUGACGGUACCUAAUCAGAAAGCCACGGCUAACUACGUG